GUCUGAGCAUAAACUAAAUAAGUUAAAACUUUCAACAACGGAUCUCUUGGUUCCGGCAUCGAUGAAGAACGCAGCGAAAUGCGAUAACUAAUGUGAAUUGCAGAAUUCAGUGAAUCAUCGAGUCUUUGAACGCACAUUGCGCCCCCUGGUAUUCCGGGG
RNAcentral lists this ribosomal RNA (159 nucleotides) under Penicillium glabrum. RNAcentral's name for it is "5.8S ribosomal RNA". The stretch from base 27 to 159 matches the Rfam family "5.8S ribosomal RNA", at positions 1 to 133 of the family's 154-position model. Rfam says of the family: 5.8S ribosomal RNA (5.8S rRNA) is a component of the large subunit of the eukaryotic ribosome. It is transcribed by RNA polymerase I as part of the 45S precursor that also contains 18S and 28S rRNA. Lineage: Eukaryota; Fungi; Ascomycota; Eurotiomycetes; Eurotiales; Aspergillaceae. The record is from RNAcentral.